CUUCCUUGUUUGGUACAGGGAUAGUAUAUGCACCUGUCCUUUGUCCUUCGUCGUGCCUAUCUUUGGCAUUGCUUGGGCUUCUGAACAUGGUGGAGGGUCUCCUAUACGCUGGCUUUGUCCUUGGUUUCUUCACUAUGCGCUUGGUUGUCUUGUAGCCCAUUAAUGGGGAAGAAGUAUGGAAAAGAGAGCUUAAUAGAAUAAAAACAAUAGUGCUGAAACACAGUUACAAGAGAAGCAUGGUAGAUAACAUCUUAAGUGACAUUAUGAUUAACAGGCAGAAUACCCAGAGCAGUGCAACGACAUCAAGCUCCUCUGCUCAUAGUCCCCAGGAGGACGCCCGAGGACAAGAAUUUAAGGUGAUAGACCAUGCAUUAAUGGGCUACAAGACAACUAAGCACGUAGUGAAGAAGCUAAAGACAAAGCCAACAUAUAGGAGGCCCC
RNAcentral lists this long non-coding RNA (441 nucleotides) under Androctonus crassicauda. Lineage: Eukaryota; Metazoa; Arthropoda; Arachnida; Scorpiones; Buthidae. The record is from RNAcentral.